AGGACGAACGCUGGCGGCGUGCUUAACACAUGCAAGUCGAACGGAAAGGCCCGCUUGCGGGUACUCGAGUGGCGAACGGGUGAGUAACACGUGGGCAACCUGCCCUCAGCUUCGGGAUAACACUUGGAAACAGGUGCUAAUACCGGAUAAUAACCUUUCAUCGCAUGGUGUGGGGUUCAAAGUUUUUCGGCUGGGGAUGGGCCCGCGGCCUAUCAGCUUGUUGGUGGGGUAAUGGCCUACCAAGGCGACGACGGGUAGCCGGCCUGAGAGGGCGACCGGCCACACUGGGACUGAGACACGGCCCAGACUCCUACGGGAGGCAGCAGUGGGAAUAUUGCGCAAUGGGCGGAAGCCUGACGCAGCGACGCCGCGUGAGGGAUGACGGCCUUCGGGUUGUAAACCUCUUCAGCUCUGACGAAGCGCAAGUGACGGUAGGAGCAGAAGAAGCACCGGCCAACUACGCGCCAGCAGCCGC
Molecule: ribosomal RNA, 475 nt
Filed under: uncultured bacterium
Lineage: Bacteria
Description: SSU rRNA
Rfam family: Bacterial small subunit ribosomal RNA
Source: RNAcentral